AGUGGAAGUAAUGGAGGAGAAACUCCUUCAAGAUCUGACUCGUGAGACGUGCUUACUGAUGUCUGCUAUAGCUUCACCAGGACUAAAUAUCAGGCUUCCAUCUUUAGAACAAUCUGGGCAUGUCAGCCGGGGUGAUACAUCUUCUCUGAAGGACCUGGAUGCAUUUGUAUCAAACUCUAUGGUUGGGUGCGUCAUGUAUGAGACUAGACUUUUCCGUUUAUUAAUGGAAGCAGUUCUUCCUUUCCAUAAUUUUUCCCCCUCAAAUCCUGCUGUCUAAAAUUUAAUUCAUUUACAGUUUCCUUCUGAAGCACAAAGGCCUGGCUUUUCCAGCAUUACAGAUUUGUAUAGAAGCUUUCACAUGGACAGAUAGUGAAGCAGUGACAAAAGUUUCUUCCUUCUGUGCUCCCGUUAUUCUUUUAGCUAUAGCAACAAAUAAUGCUGAACUUCGAGAAUUUGUUUCAAAAGAUCUGUU
Molecule: unclassified non-coding RNA, 472 nt
Filed under: Hevea brasiliensis (rubber tree)
Lineage: Eukaryota; Viridiplantae; Streptophyta; Magnoliopsida; Malpighiales; Euphorbiaceae
Source: RNAcentral